Molecule: unclassified non-coding RNA, 286 nt
Filed under: Hevea brasiliensis (rubber tree)
Lineage: Eukaryota; Viridiplantae; Streptophyta; Magnoliopsida; Malpighiales; Euphorbiaceae
Source: RNAcentral
AACGAAACGCAGAAAUUUUUUCUGGAAGUCUCUCUCUCUCUUUGUUCGCCGGCUGCAUAACUCACCGACCAUGCCUCGCCGAAGCUCUGGAGGUAGACCUGCUCCUCGGGCCGCUGCCCGCCCUGCACCCACCACCCCAACCAGUUAACCAUGCUCCUCCUCCAGCUCCUGUUCAGAGUGGUGGUGGUGGUGGUGGUGGUGGAUCAUUGCUUGGAACCAUAGCUCAGGGCAUGGCUUUUGGCACUGGAAGUGCUGUGGCACACAGAGCUGUAGAUGCUGUGUUGGG